Molecule: ribosomal RNA, 465 nt
Filed under: uncultured bacterium
Lineage: Bacteria
Description: partial 16S ribosomal RNA
Rfam family: Bacterial small subunit ribosomal RNA
Source: RNAcentral
ACGAACGCUGGCGGCGCGCCUCACACAUGCAAGUCGAACGAGCGAGAGAGAGCUUGCUUUCUCAAGCGAGUGGCGAACGGGUGAGUAACGCGUGAGGAACCUGCCUCAAAGAGGGGGACAACAGUUGGAAACGACUGCUAAUACCGCAUAAGCCCACAGGUCGGCAUCGACCAGAGGGAAAAGGAGCAAUCCGCUUUGAGAUGGCCUCGCGUCCGAUUAGCUAGUUGGUGAGGUAACGGCCCACCAAGGCAACGAUCGGUAGCCGGACUGAGAGGUUGAACGGCCACAUUGGGACUGAGACACGGCCCAGACUCCUACGGGAGGCAGCAGUGGGGAAUAUUGCACAAUGGGGGAAACCCUGAUGCAGCGACGCCGCGUGGAGGAAGAAGGUCUUCGGAUUGUAAACUCCUGUUGUUGAGGAAGAUAAUGACGGUACUCAACAAGGAAGUGACGGCUAACUACGUG